AGAAGAUUUGAUAAAGUGUUGCAAAACUGAAGAACUGCCUCUGCUUCAUGAGAGCACUUUCCAAGACUCCUAUACAAGAUUCCUGGCCACCAGAGAUCUGCUCCUCAAAUUAACGCCUGCUAAUGUUGGGCUUGAUUAAAGGAAGCUAAUGAAGCCAUUUGAAGGAUGCCCUCCAGCCUUCCCUCUCUGUGUCCAUGUUCCCUUGGCAGAAAUCGGGGAUUUGAAAGCUGCAAUUCAACAGCAUCAUCCUUUCAUGUUGUGGACUGCCUGGCCUAUGAAUGGGACCUGCCCCAUGCUGUGUAUUACUAGGAGCCCGCUGGAGAACAAGGGUCUCAGAAGCUCACGUCACCCUACUGCCUCCUGUGUUGUGAUGAUACAGGCAGAGGAAGUCUUUCUUUCGCCUCUGUCUCUGGAGUCCUGGCAUCACCUUUGCUGACCUAUGCUUCAGCAUCCCCAGGGUAACAGGAUACAAUGAAAGAAGAGGAUACCAAGAGAGAUGUUGGAAAACUGAGCCCUGAUGACCUUUCUCAGCACUUGAACCAAACAGUGCUUUCAGUAGAACAGCGUCUUCCUCUUUCGUGCCCAGGAUGAAGUCAAAGCCCCCCACAGGAGCCUGUAAUGCUUAUAAGUGAGAUUUGCCUGGAUGGAAGCAAGCCACCAGAGCUUAUUUCUCAGAGAAGUCCUACGGUGGAGGUGACUGCAUGCCAGGAAAUUCACACCCUGCUGAAGGACUCCUCCACCAGAGAAUGGCACUGCAAUCCUUCUGCCACCUCCUGCUCUUGUGCA
Molecule: long non-coding RNA, 786 nt
Organism: Lagopus leucura (white-tailed ptarmigan)
Lineage: Eukaryota; Metazoa; Chordata; Aves; Galliformes; Phasianidae
Exons: 6
Source: RefSeq, a predicted model, not a curated record